Molecule: ribosomal RNA, 731 nt
Filed under: uncultured bacterium
Lineage: Bacteria
Description: bacterial SSU rRNA
Rfam family: Bacterial small subunit ribosomal RNA
Source: RNAcentral
AACAGGAUUAGAUACCCUGGUAGUCCACGCUGUAAACGAUGUCGACUUGGAGGUUGUGCCCUUGAGGCGUGGCUUCCGGAGCUAACGCGUUAAGUCGACCGCCUGGGGAGUACGGCCGCAAGGUUAAAACUCAAAUGAAUUGACGGGGGCCCGCACAAGCGGUGGAGCAUGUGGUUUAAUUCGAUGCAACGCGAAGAACCUUACCUACUCUUGACAUCCAGAGAAUUUGCUAGAGAUAGCUUAGUGCCUUCGGGAACUCUGAGACAGGUGCUGCAUGGCUGUCGUCAGCUCGUGUUGUGAAAUGUUGGGUUAAGUCCCGCAACGAGCGCAACCCUUAUCCUUUGUUGCCAGCGAGUCAUGUCGGGAACUCAAAGGAGACUGCCGGUGAUAAACCGGAGGAAGGUGGGGAUGACGUCAAGUCAUCAUGGCCCUUACGAGUAGGGCUACACACGUGCUACAAUGGCAUAUACAAAGAGAAGCGAACUCGCGAGAGCAAGCGGACCUCAUAAAGUAUGUCGUAGUCCGGAUUGGAGUCUGCAACUCGACUCCAUGAAGUCGGAAUCGCUAGUAAUCGUAGAUCAGAAUGCUACGGUGAAUACGUUCCCGGGCCUUGUACACACCGCCCGUCACACCAUGGGAGUGGGUUGCAAAAGAAGUAGGUAGCUUAACCUUCGGGAGGGCGCUUACCACUUUGUGAUUCAUGACUGGGGUGAAGUCGUAACAAGGUAACC